CUCCACUUCUGCAGUCUAAUAUUAAAGGCACCAUGAUAACUUAGUACGUAUAUCAUCACCAACAACACAUUAAUAUUGAUAUAUAUUGCCAUAUUGUGGUCUGUUCUGAAAUCAACAUACAACUUAUUUUGAUCUCUACAAUUCCCAAAGUUUUUGUGUUGAUUAGCACUGCCCUCUUGCUCCGUGGAUUUUUUUCAUAAAUUAAGGAUUUAUUUGACAUCGACAUAUAAUGAGCAAAAGAAAGAGGGUGUCUUCGUGUUCAUCAUCAUCUUCAAAAUCGUAUACAUCAAAGAUGAGUUUUCUCGAGGUAACUUCGAAGCCAACUAAACAAGAUAGUGAGGAGCAGUAUGCAAAAUUUAAUUCAGUAGUUACAAAGGAGAUGGUUCUUGUUGGUUGUCCUAGAUGUUUCAUGUAUGUUAUGUCAUCGGAGGUUGAGCCAAAGUGUCCCAAGUGCGAGACUACUACUGUAUUUCUUGAUCUUUUCGGACAGGAAGAUUAAGAUUGUCGAUUGAGUUAAGAAUAAAGUAGUGAGGUAAUGCUAGAAAAACUUACUUUAAUACUCUCAUUCACUUUUUUAUCGGAUAAAAUCACGUAGAUCACACCACUUAAUGUAUUACUUAUUUUUAAAAUGGUAGGAUCUACAAGAAUUUUACCAAACAAAAAAGUUGAAGAUGUUAAAGUAAAUGUUUCUAGCACUCCUUUAAGAAGAAUAAAUAUGGAACUAUUUUGUGUUAAUUAGUUUGAUCGAAAAUGCAAUUGUACGAAUUACUCUAAUUUUAUGAUCUCUAAUAUUUCCAAUGAUUCCCCAUGUUGAGAGUGAGGGAGAUGCUCGUGUAAUCUCUUGUUGUUUUCUUUAAUUGGUGGAUUAUGUUAGUUUUUGGAA
Long non-coding RNA from Trifolium pratense (red clover), 883 nucleotides. RefSeq lists it as uncharacterized. Lineage: Eukaryota; Viridiplantae; Streptophyta; Magnoliopsida; Fabales; Fabaceae. The transcript is spliced from 2 exons. The record is from RefSeq and is a predicted model, not a curated record.